GUGCCAAAUAGCAAAAUCUUUACCUGCAGCUGUUACCAGGACUUAUGUCAGAAAAUUGCCUGCUGCCUCGGACUAGAAUUAGGCAUAAUGUUUACUGAAAAAUUGGGUGACUGGGAAAUAUCUGUGGAAAUUGGUGAGAGCGUACAUGGAGAGGAAGAUAUUUACAUGGUUUAGAGUGACUGUGGCAAAAUCAGUAGCAAUCUGUUGGAAUUUCUAAUCAUGAUUAAUGCCUGUAGAUUGCUGCAGCCAACUGGGUUACUACAUUUUACCCACAUUUCCCUUAUAACUGGGAACAUAAAAAAAAUAAAGCCAAGCCCCAGUUGUGACCAAAAUUGUUGCAAAUAUAGUGUGUACAGCAGACACUGAUCAUACCAUCCCUAUGACAUAUACACUCCUAAGAUUCAGGGCUUGUUGGCAUACCAACUCAUAACUUGUAUAUGAAGACAACUGGCAUAUUAUUCUUAAAGUGGAUGAAGAAUAAUAUUGCUCAGUGAAGAAAUUGUUUCUCACCUGUUGUUCAUGGAACUAAGAACAUAACCUCUAGUGAAGACCACAUGAAUGUGGCCUUUAUCAUGAUUCAUAAAGAUGAGAAGUAGGCCACGGACAAGCACCUCCUUGUAAUAUCAGGAAACACAAAAGAUCAACUGACCACUCUUGUGGGUUUCAAAGUGCCAACUGGCCUACUUUUUGCCAUUAAAGCCAUAGUAUUCUCUAUGAUGAAAAUACUUUAAUUUCAGGCUCUCCUGACUCAUGGAAUCUUUUCUGGCCUAGCCAUCUCUUGCAUCACUAAUUUGUGCCUUGAUGCAGUGAUAGUCACCAAUAUCAUACCUAUGGAGAGCAAGAUAAAUUAUUGCCUCAAAAUUAAACUGUUCAAUA
This 876-nucleotide long non-coding RNA is filed under the name Homo sapiens (human). RNAcentral describes it as "non-protein coding lnc-SCN2A-11:1". The record is from RNAcentral. Lineage: Eukaryota; Metazoa; Chordata; Mammalia; Primates; Hominidae.